RNAcentral lists this ribosomal RNA (342 nucleotides) under Triticum aestivum (bread wheat). Its description in RNAcentral is "partial small subunit ribosomal RNA". Lineage: Eukaryota; Viridiplantae; Streptophyta; Magnoliopsida; Poales; Poaceae. The record is from RNAcentral.
AUGGUUGCUUGUAGGCGGAUGUGUCUCAGACCUAAGUUGUUGCCGCUGGACCGUGGUUACAUGCAUCCUUGCUUGGAGGCAGCAGUGCUGGGAGAUAUGCAUGUGCAAGGCGAAGAAGUGGACAAAGGCCGAAGAAGCAAUAUGUGCCUCCCUAUCGCUGCGUCCUGCUUCUUAAUAUGUUACCUUAGUUGUGGCCGCCUUAUCCCUCAUGUUGCUGAUUUAAACCUGCCCUACUCUUCUCAUAGGGUGAUCGAGCGCUGCGCUUCAGCGGGUGCCUCGCUGACGACGGGGAAGGAAGGAUCAGAAGUGACGGCUAUAGCGCUAGGAAGUUGGAAACCCUAG